GAAUAUUGGACAAUGGGCGCAAGCCUGAUCCAGCCAUGCCGCGUGAGUGAUGAAGNCCNNAGGGUNGNAAAGCUCUUUCACCGNNNNNGAUAAUGACGGAAACCGGAGAAGAAGCCCCGGCUAACUUAGUGCCAGCAGCCGCGGUAAUACGAAGGGGGCUAGCGUUGUUCGGAAGUACUGGGCGUAAAGCGCACGUAGGCGGAUUAUUAAGUCAGGGGUGAAAACCCGCAGCUCAACUGCGGUACUGCCUUUGAUACUGGUAAUCUAGAGACCGAGAGAGGUAAGUGGAACUCCUAGUGUAGAGGUGGAAUUCGUAGAUAUUAGGAAGAACACCAGUGGCGAAGGCGGCUUACUGGCUCGGAACUGACGCUGAGGUGCGAAAGCGUGGGGAGCAAAC
This 397-nucleotide ribosomal RNA is filed under the name uncultured bacterium. RNAcentral's name for it is "partial 16S ribosomal RNA". It matches the Rfam family "Bacterial small subunit ribosomal RNA", at positions 359 to 773 of the family's 1533-position model. The record is from RNAcentral.